This is an RNA transcript of Eriocheir sinensis (Chinese mitten crab), 2937 nucleotides long. RefSeq lists it as uncharacterized. Lineage: Eukaryota; Metazoa; Arthropoda; Malacostraca; Decapoda; Varunidae. The record is from RefSeq and is a predicted model, not a curated record. The transcript has 2 exons.
UUAUGUUGGUGGUGGCUAGAGAGCGUGGAAGAGAGGCGAGAGGUGGAGACCAGAGAGAGAGAGAGAGAGAAAGAGAGGUGGACAAGGGUGGAGGAGGAGGAGGCUGGGAGGUGAGGUGAGCAAACUAGAGCUUUAAUGGAAGUUCGGCAAGCUCAUGCAACCCGGCUACCCGUUCUCUCUCUCUCUCUCUCUCUCUCUCUCUCUCUCUCUCUCUCUCUCUCUCUCUCUCUCGUUCUCUCUUUCUCUCUUCUCGGCAUCGCUGGGAUCGCUGUUGUCCUAGGUAGUCGGUCAGGGUACAAUGCCUUUCACUGAAUCUCACGCAAUCAUCUUCCUCUUCCUCUUUCCUCUCUUCUCGCCUCACCGCUUCACUCAUUUCCUCUUCCUUUCUCCUCUCAUCUCCUCUUGGUUUCUCCUCUCAUCUCCUCUCCUUUUGGUUUCUCCUCAUCUCCUCUCGCUUCCCUCAUCUCCUCUUCCUUUCUCCUCUCAUCUUCUCUUGCUUCACUCAUCUCCUCUUGGUUUCUCCUCUCAUCUCUCGCUUCAGUCAUCUCCUCUUCCUUUCUCCUCUCAUCUCUCGCUUCACAUCUCCUCUUCAUGUCUCCUCUCCUCUCGCUUCACUCAUCUCCUCCUUGUUUCUUCUCUCUUCUCUCUGCUUCACUCUCCUCUUCGUUCCUCCUCUCCUCAGCUUUUUUCCUCUCGGUUCCUCCUCUCCUCUUCACUCCUCUUUACUCCUCUUAAUACCGCUUCACUUCUCUUGGUUUCUCGUCUCCUAUCCUCUCAGCUUCAUUCUUCUCGUCCUUCCUCCUCUUCUCUUUUGCACUCUGCGUUCCCCUUCUCUUCCCUUCUCCUAAUCUCCUCUUCCUUCCUCCUCUCCCCUCCUUUCUCUCUUCUCCAUUUCUCCACUCCGUUUUUCUGUUCUCUCCCUUUCUUUCGUUCCUCCUCCCCUCUCCGCCUCACUCCUCUGUCCUUUCUUCUUUUCCUCUCUCUGCCCUCUCCCUUCGUUCUGCUCCUCCGUUCUCUUCGUUUUUUUUUUUUUUCCACUUUCUUCCUCUGUUCGCUUUCUCCCUCUUCUUUCUUCCUGUCCUCUCCACUUUUUUCCUCCGCCCUUUUCCUUUUUUCCAAUGCCCUCCUGUCCUGUCUCCUUCCCUCUCUUCUUUCCUCUUCUUUUUUCCCUUAUCCUUCUCUUCUCUACUCCCCUUCACUUAUUUCUUUAUUCCUCUCGUCUACUUCUUUCUAUUUUCUCCUCUCCUCUCCCUCUCUUGCUCUCCUCUUUCCCUCCUUUCUUAAAUCAUCUCUUCUACUCACUUUCUUUUCUUUUCCCUUUCUAGCUCAUCAUCUCUUUUAUCUUCUCCACCUCCCUCAACCACUUGCUCCACGUCUCUCAUCUCCCCUCUUCCCUUUCCUCCCUUCUCUCCUCUCCUCUUCCCUUGGAUCACCUGCCCCGCCAUUUUCAAGCCCCAGUCUCUGCUAAAUAGGUAAAUCAGGGCCACAGGUGCGCUUGCGGGUUACCUGUUUGAUUAUCUACCUGCUUGCCUUCCUACCUACCUACCUACUUGCUUGUCUUAUCUAUCUAUACCUUGCCUACCAUACCUGACUACCUACCUGCCUUCCUUCCAUCCUUCCUUUUUCCUUCCUGCCUACUUUCCUACAUUUUUCCCUUCCUUUCUUCCUACUAACCCUACUUACCUGCUUACCUACCUACCUACACACACACACACACACACACACACACACACACACACACACACACACACACACACACACACCAUGGCUAGCUGCUAUGUUUUAGGGGUUGGCACCUUGGCUGUUUGGUGGUGGGGGGAGGGGGGGGUCUAUGGCGUGUGUGUGCAUGCAUUUGGCGGGUCUGCGGCGUUGCUUCAGGGUCUCGGAGGCGCCCUUGAGGUAGCUGUGGUAGGGGUGGUGGGAAUGGUGGUGAUGGUGGUUGUCGUGUCAGCAGGUGUCGCCAUCUCUCCAGCAGGUGUUUUCAGUUUAUCUCUCCCUCCCCUGCUUCCACGCCCACCGCCCGCCCCUCCCGCCCUCAGCGGGUGGCAACAUGGGCGACUAAUGGCGGUGCUUGCAGGCCUUCGUCAGGAGUCUUUUUGUGGAGGCGGCGGAGAUGCUGCCCCGGGUUUUAAGGUCAGCUUGUGGUGGUGGUGCUGGCGGUGGUGGUGGUGGUCAGGGCAUCUCAUACUCUGCUUGCUUUCUAUUGAGGUCGUGGUGGUGGUGGUGGUUUUUGUCGUGUGUGCUGUCGGCGUUGUUGUUGUUACGGCGUCUUGGUGCCUUGUGAGGCUGGCACUCCGGGCAGAUGGCCCUCUGUUGUACACGACACCCCCACCCCCCACUUCACACACACACACACACACACACACACACACACACACACACACGUGCCCACAACAGCCGUGUUCUGGAUGCCAGCACCUGGUGUGGGUAAUAGGUCGUCUGCGCGCGCAGUGCUUGGUGUUGGUAGCGAUGGUGGUGGUGGUGGUAGCGGCGGCGGCGGCGGCAGCGGUGGUGGAGUGUGGCAUGAGCCAGGGCCUGGAGUGUGGCGGCAGUGUGGCUGGUGAAGUGACGCGCGCCCCACGUCCCGCCUGCCGUUCUUCCGCAGCUGGUGAACACCUCCGCCACCUGGUGCCGCCCUGCCCCUGCGACCCAGCUCGCCGCCGUCGCUGCUGCUGAGGUGUCCGCCGCUCCGUGGCCCGCGUCGCCUGCUAUCCAGGACGCUGCUCGACGCCAGCUGCUGCCCGCCACGGCCAGGGCGUCCCGCUCCUGCUGAAGACACUAUGUGAGGCUUGUCCUCUGUCAGCCGCGUGUAUUGAUCCGAGGAGAAAGGUGUUGGUGGUGGUGUGCGGCGCCACGACCCGUGCUGGUGUGUAGUGCCCCGCCCUUCGCGCCCCUACCUCGGCCAUGGUGUGACCGCCGGCCACUGGAGGGCGUGGC